GUGGGGAAUUUUGGACAAUGGGCGCAAGCCUGAUCCAGCAAUGCCGCGUGCAGGAAGAAGGCCUUCGGGUUGUAAACUGCUUUUGUACGGAACGAAACGGUCCUGGCUAAUACCCGGGGCUAAUGACGGUACCGUAAGAAUAAGCACCGGCUAACUACGUGCCAGCAGCCGCGGUAAUACGUAGGGUGCGAGCGUUAAUCGGAAUUACUGGGCGUAAAGCGUGCGCAGGCGGUGCUGUAAGACAGGCGUGAAAUCCCCGGGCUCAACCUGGGAAUUGCGCUUGUGACUGCAAGGCUGGAGUGCGGCAGAGGGGGAUGGAAUUCCGCGUGUAGCAGUGAAAUGCGUAGAUAUGCGGAGGAACACCGAUGGCGAAGGCAAUCCCCUGGGCCUGCACUGACGCUCAUGCACGAAAGCGUGGGGAGCAAACAGGAUUAGAAACCCCGGUAGUCC
This 450-nucleotide ribosomal RNA is filed under the name uncultured bacterium. Its description in RNAcentral is "partial 16S ribosomal RNA". It matches the Rfam family "Bacterial small subunit ribosomal RNA", at positions 354 to 796 of the family's 1533-position model. The record is from RNAcentral.